Molecule: ribosomal RNA, 2522 nt
Filed under: Staphylococcus aureus M0552
Lineage: Bacteria; Bacillati; Bacillota; Bacilli; Caryophanales; Staphylococcaceae
Also listed under: 2 other names
Description: bacterial LSU rRNA
Rfam family: Bacterial large subunit ribosomal RNA
Source: RNAcentral
CUUGAGUGGAUCCUGAGUACGACGGAGCACGUGAAAUUCCGUCGGAAUCUGGGAGGACCAUCUCCUAAGGCUAAAUACUCUCUAGUGACCGAUAGUGAACCAGUACCGUGAGGGAAAGGUGAAAAGCACCCCGGAAGGGGAGUGAAAUAGAACCUGAAACCGUGUGCUUACAAGUAGUCAGAGCCCGUUAAUGGGUGAUGGCGUGCCUUUUGUAGAAUGAACCGGCGAGUUACGAUUUGAUGCAAGGUUAAGCAGUAAAUGUGGAGCCGUAGCGAAAGCGAGUCUGAAUAGGGCGUUUAGUAUUUGGUCGUAGACCCGAAACCAGGUGAUCUACCCUUGGUCAGGUUGAAGUUCAGGUAACACUGAAUGGAGGACCGAACCGACUUACGUUGAAAAGUGAGCGGAUGAACUGAGGGUAGCGGAGAAAUUCCAAUCGAACCUGGAGAUAGCUGGUUCUCUCCGAAAUAGCUUUAGGGCUAGCCUCAAGUGAUGAUUAUUGGAGGUAGAGCACUGUUUGGACGAGGGGCCCCUCUCGGGUUACCGAAUUCAGACAAACUCCGAAUGCCAAUUAAUUUAACUUGGGAGUCAGAACAUGGGUGAUAAGGUCCGUGUUCGAAAGGGAAACAGCCCAGACCACCAGCUAAGGUCCCAAAAUAUAUGUUAAGUGGAAAAGGAUGUGGCGUUGCCCAGACAACUAGGAUGUUGGCUUAGAAGCAGCCAUCAUUUAAAGAGUGCGUAAUAGCUCACUAGUCGAGUGACACUGCGCCGAAAAUGUACCGGGGCUAAACAUAUUACCGAAGCUGUGGAUUGUCCUUUGGACAAUGGUAGGAGAGCGUUCUAAGGGCGUUGAAGCAUGAUCGUAAGGACAUGUGGAGCGCUUAGAAGUGAGAAUGCCGGUGUGAGUAGCGAAAGACGGGUGAGAAUCCCGUCCACCGAUUGACUAAGGUUUCCAGAGGAAGGCUCGUCCGCUCUGGGUUAGUCGGGUCCUAAGCUGAGGCCGACAGGCGUAGGCGAUGGAUAACAGGUUGAUAUUCCUGUACCACCUAUAAUCGUUUUAAUCGAUGGGGGGACGCAGUAGGAUAGGCGAAGCGUGCGAUUGGAUUGCACGUCUAAGCAGUAAGGCUGAGUAUUAGGCAAAUCCGGUACUCAUUAAGGCUGAGCUGUGAUGGGGAGAAGACAUUGUGUCUUCGAGUCGUUGAUUUCACACUGCCGAGAAAAGCCUCUAGAUAGAAAAUAGGUGCCCGUACCGCAAACCGACACAGGUAGUCAAGAUGAGAAUUCUAAGGUGAGCGAGCGAACUCUCGUUAAGGAACUCGGCAAAAUGACCCCGUAACUUCGGGAGAAGGGGUGCUCUUUAGGGUUAACGCCCAGAAGAGCCGCAGUGAAUAGGCCCAAGCGACUGUUUAUCAAAAACACAGGUCUCUGCUAAACCGUAAGGUGAUGUAUAGGGGCUGACGCCUGCCCGGUGCUGGAAGGUUAAGAGGAGUGGUUAGCUUCUGCGAAGCUACGAAUCGAAGCCCCAGUAAACGGCGGCCGUAACUAUAACGGUCCUAAGGUAGCGAAAUUCCUUGUCGGGUAAGUUCCGACCCGCACGAAAGGCGUAACGAUUUGGGCACUGUCUCAACGAGAGACUCGGUGAAAUCAUAGUACCUGUGAAGAUGCAGGUUACCCGCGACAGGACGGAAAGACCCCGUGGAGCUUUACUGUAGCCUGAUAUUGAAAUUCGGCACAGCUUGUACAGGAUAGGUAGGAGCCUUUGAAACGUGAGCGCUAGCUUACGUGGAGGCGCUGGUGGGAUACUACCCUAGCUGUGUUGGCUUUCUAACCCGCACCACUUAUCGUGGUGGGAGACAGUGUCAGGCGGGCAGUUUGACUGGGGCGGUCGCCUCCUAAAAGGUAACGGAGGCGCUCAAAGGUUCCCUCAGAAUGGUUGGAAAUCAUUCAUAGAGUGUAAAGGCAUAAGGGAGCUUGACUGCGAGACCUACAAGUCGAGCAGGGUCGAAAGACGGACUUAGUGAUCCGGUGGUUCCGCAUGGAAGGGCCAUCGCUCAACGGAUAAAAGCUACCCCGGGGAUAACAGGCUUAUCUCCCCCAAGAGUUCACAUCGACGGGGAGGUUUGGCACCUCGAUGUCGGCUCAUCGCAUCCUGGGGCUGUAGUCGGUCCCAAGGGUUGGGCUGUUCGCCCAUUAAAGCGGUACGCGAGCUGGGUUCAGAACGUCGUGAGACAGUUCGGUCCCUAUCCGUCGUGGGCGUAGGAAAUUUGAGAGGAGCUGUCCUUAGUACGAGAGGACCGGGAUGGACAUACCUCUGGUGUACCAGUUGUCGUGCCAACGGCAUAGCUGGGUAGCUAUGUGUGGACGGGAUAAGUGCUGAAAGCAUCUAAGCAUGAAGCCCCCCUCAAGAUGAGAUUUCCCAACUUCGGUUAUAAGAUCCCUCAAAGAUGAUGAGGUUAAUAGGUUCGAGGUGGAAGCAUGGUGACAUGUGGAGCUGACGAAUACUAAUCGAUCGAAGACUUAAUCAA